RNAcentral lists this ribosomal RNA (497 nucleotides) under uncultured bacterium. RNAcentral describes it as "partial 16S ribosomal RNA". It matches the Rfam family "Bacterial small subunit ribosomal RNA", at positions 28 to 507 of the family's 1533-position model. The record is from RNAcentral.
GAUGAACGCUGGCGGCGUGCCUAACACAUGCAAGUCGAGCGACCGCACAGUAAGCUUGUUCCUCUGCUGUUAGCGGCGGACGGGCGAGUAACACGUGGAUAACCUUCCUAUUUGUCUGGGGUAACUUCGGGAAAACGGUGACGAUACCAGAUCAUAUUUUGUACCGCAUGGUUCAAAAGUGCAUCACGCCUUUGCCGUUUCUUAUAGCUGAUUUCGCGCUGGAUUAGCUAGUUGGUAAGGGAACGGCUUACCAAGGCAACGAUGCAUAGCCGGACUGAGAGGGUGAUCGGCCACACUGGAACUGAGACACGGUCCAGACUCCUACGGGAGGCAGCAGUAGGGAAUCUUGCACAAUGGGCGAAAGCCUGACGCAGCAACGCCGCGUGAGUGAAGAAGGUCUUCGGGUUGUAAAGCUCUUUUAUUGGGAAAGAACAGAUGUAGGAGAAUACGUGGAUGUUUUGACGGUACCCAAACAAAAAGCCACGGCUAACUUCGUG